AGCAGCCGCGGUAAUUCCAGCUCCAAUAGCGUAUAUUAAAGUUGUUGCAGUUAAAAGCUCGUAGUUGAAUUUCGGAAUCAGUACGCUGGUCGUGCCUUCGGUAUGUACUGGUGUCACUGAUUCCUCCCUUCUGAAGAACCAUCAUGCCAUUCACUUGGUGUGGUGGGGAAUCAGGACUGUUACUUUGAAAAAUUAGAGUGUUUAAAGCAGGCUAACGCUUGAAUACAUUAGCAUGGAAUAAUGAAAUAGGACGUUCGAUCCUAUUUUGUUGGUUUCUAGGAUUGACGUAAUGAUUAAUAGGGAUAGUUGGGGGCAUUAGUAUUCAAUUGUCAGAGGUGAAAUUCCUGGAUUUAUUGAAGACUAACUACUGCGAAAGCAUUUGCCAAGGAUGUUUUCAUUAAUCAAGAACGAAGUUAGGGGAUCGAAGACGAUCAGAUACCGUCGUAGUCUUAACCAUAAACUAUGCCGACUAGGGAUCGGAUGAUGUUAAUUUUUUUAAUGACUCAUUCGGCGCCUUAUC
This 520-nucleotide ribosomal RNA is filed under the name uncultured Glomus. RNAcentral's name for it is "SSU rRNA". It matches the Rfam family "Eukaryotic small subunit ribosomal RNA", at positions 569 to 1092 of the family's 1831-position model. Lineage: Eukaryota; Fungi; Glomeromycota; Glomeromycetes; Glomerales; Glomeraceae. The record is from RNAcentral.